AGUGAACGCUGGCGGUAGGCCUAACACAUGCAAGUCGAACGGAAGCACAGUAAGAGCUUGCUCUUACGGGUGGCGAGUGGCGGACGGGUGAGGAAUACAUCGGAAUCUACUCUUUCGUGGGGGAUAACGUAGGGAAACUUACGCUAAUACAGCAUACGACCUACGGGUGAAAGCAGUGGAUCUUCGGACCUUGCGCGAUUGAAUGAGCCGAUGUCGGAUUAGCUAGUUGGCGGGGUAAAGGCCCACCAAGGCGACGAUCCGUAGCUGGUCUGGGAGGAUGAUCAGCCACACUGGAACUGAGACACGGUCCAGACUCCUACGGGAGGCAGCAGUGGGGAAUAUUGGACAAUGGGCGCAAGCCUGAUCCAGCCAUACCGCGUGGGUGAAGAAGGCCUUCGGGUUGUAAAGCCCUUUUGUUGGGAAAGAAAAGCAGCAGGUUAAUACCCCGCUGUUCUGACGGUACCCAAAGAAUAAGCACCGGCUAACUUCGUG
RNAcentral lists this ribosomal RNA (492 nucleotides) under uncultured bacterium. Its description in RNAcentral is "partial 16S ribosomal RNA". It matches the Rfam family "Bacterial small subunit ribosomal RNA", at positions 29 to 507 of the family's 1533-position model. The record is from RNAcentral.